UACAGAGGGUGCGAGCGUUAAUCGGAAUUACUGGGCGUAAAGCGUGCGUAGACGGUAGCGUAAGUCAGAUGUGAAAGCCCGGGCUCAACCUGGGAAUUGCAUUUGAGACUGCUCUGCUCGGGUGCGGAAGAGGGAAGCGGAAUUUCCGGUGUAGCGGUGAAAUGCGUAGAUAUCGGAAGGAACACCAGUGGCGAAAGCGGCUUCCUGGUCCGACACCGACGUUCAGGCACGAAAGCGUGGGGAGCAAACAGG
RNAcentral lists this ribosomal RNA (252 nucleotides) under uncultured bacterium. Its description in RNAcentral is "partial 16S ribosomal RNA". It matches the Rfam family "Bacterial small subunit ribosomal RNA", at positions 524 to 776 of the family's 1533-position model. The record is from RNAcentral.